RNAcentral lists this transfer RNA (72 nucleotides) under Marsupiomonas sp. NIES 1824. RNAcentral describes it as "tRNA-Cys". It matches the Rfam family "tRNA". From Rfam's summary of the family: Transfer RNA (tRNA) molecules are approximately 80 nucleotides in length. Their secondary structure includes four short double-helical elements and three loops (D, anti-codon, and T loops). Lineage: Eukaryota; Viridiplantae; Chlorophyta; Pedinophyceae; Marsupiomonadales; Marsupiomonadaceae. The record is from RNAcentral.
GGCGAAGUCGUCUAAGGGUUAAGAUCGUGGAUUGCAACUCCAUGGAUGGUAGUUCAAAUCUACUCUUCGCCU